This 499-nucleotide ribosomal RNA is filed under the name uncultured Sphingobacteriales bacterium. Its description in RNAcentral is "bacterial SSU rRNA". It matches the Rfam family "Bacterial small subunit ribosomal RNA", at positions 885 to 1382 of the family's 1533-position model. The record is from RNAcentral. Lineage: Bacteria; Pseudomonadati; Bacteroidota; Sphingobacteriia; Sphingobacteriales.
GCCAGCCCGCUCAGAAACUCAAAUGAAUUGACGGGGCCCGGCACAAGCGGAGGAGCAUGUGGUUUAAUUCGAUGAUACGCGAGGAACCUUACCUGGGCUCGAACGUAAGAUGACUGUAGGUGAAAGCUUACAUCUCUUCGGAGCAUUUUACGAGGUGCUGCAUGGUUGUCGUCAGCUCGUGCCGUGAGGUGUCGGGUUAAGUCCCAUAACGAGCGCAACCCCUACCUUUAGUUGCCAUCAGGUUAAGCUGGGGACUCUAAAGGAACUGCCUACGCAAGUAGUGAGGAAGGCGGGGAUGACGUCAAAUCAGCACGGCCCUUACGUCCAGGGCUACACACGUGCUACAAUGGCCGAUACAGAGGGCAGCUACCUGGUGACAGGAUGCAAAUCUCCAAAGUCGGUCUCAGUUCGGAUCGGAGUCUGCAACCCGACUCCGUGAAGUUGGAUUCGCUAGUAAUCGCGCAUCAGCCAUGGCGCGGUGAAUACGUUCCCGGGCCUU